GACGAACGCUGGCGGCGUGCUUAACACAUGCAAGUCGAACGGAAAGGCCCUGCUUUUGUGGGGUGCUCGAGUGGCGAACGGGUGAGUAACACGUGAGUAACCUGCCCUUGACUUUGGGAUAACUUCAGGAAACUGGGGCUAAUACCGGAUAGGAGCUCCUGCUGCAUGGUGGGGGUUGGAAAGUUUCGGCGGUUGGGGCUGGACUCGCGGCUUAUCAGCUUGUUGGUGGGGUAGUGGCUUACCAAGGCUUUGACGGGUAGCCGGCCUGAGAGGGUGACCGGCCACAUUGGGACUGCGAUACGGCCCAGACUCCAACGGGAUGCAGCAGUGGGGAAUAUUGCACAAUGGGCGGACGCCUGAUGCGGCAACGCCGCGUGCGGGAUGACGGCCUUCGGGUUGUAAACCGCUUUCGCCUGAGACGAAGCGUGAGUGACGGUAAUGGGUAAAGAAGCACCGGCUAACUACGUG
This 468-nucleotide ribosomal RNA is filed under the name uncultured bacterium. Its description in RNAcentral is "partial 16S ribosomal RNA". It matches the Rfam family "Bacterial small subunit ribosomal RNA", at positions 28 to 507 of the family's 1533-position model. The record is from RNAcentral.